GCUUGCUUAGGCAGUGCAUUUGCUAAAAUUGGAAUAACCCAGAAGAUUAGUAUGGCCCUAUGUAAGAAUGACAUAUAAAUUAGUGAAACGAUUCAUAUUUUU
This is a small nuclear RNA of Vombatus ursinus (common wombat), 102 nucleotides long. The record is from Ensembl. NCBI's taxonomy places the organism in Eukaryota, Metazoa, Chordata, Mammalia, Diprotodontia, Vombatidae.